Small nucleolar RNA from Nothoprocta perdicaria, 67 nucleotides. Its record names the gene SNORD58. It matches the Rfam family "Small nucleolar RNA SNORD58". From Rfam's summary of the family: snoRNA U58 is found in introns 1, 3 and 6 of the ribosomal protein RPL17 gene in humans. U58 is a member of the C/D class of snoRNA which contain C (UGAUGA) and D (CUGA) box motifs. Most of the members of the box C/D family function in directing site-specific 2'-O-methylation of substrate RNAs. NCBI's taxonomy places the organism in Eukaryota, Metazoa, Chordata, Aves, Tinamiformes, Tinamidae. The record is from Ensembl.
CCGCGGUGAUGGCGCUCUUAGGACACCUUUGGAUCUAAUCGUGAAAAUAAAGCGGUGUCUGAGCAGC